Molecule: long non-coding RNA, 374 nt
Organism: Alnus glutinosa
Lineage: Eukaryota; Viridiplantae; Streptophyta; Magnoliopsida; Fagales; Betulaceae
Exons: 3
Source: RefSeq, a predicted model, not a curated record
UUAUCUCGAGCAGAAAGAAAAAAAAAAUAGAGGCAGAACGCCUCUCUCUCAUCCUCUUUGGUUUUUCAUACAAAAAUCAUGAUCUACGAAGAUCAGACCGUCCAAACUCAAUUCCGACUUCGGAAACGUGAUCUACGAAGCCUGAUCUACGUUUCUACAGAUUGGUUUAAGGAUUUGUUGUGAGGAGCUUGCUAAACACUCUCCAAGUGUUGGAUUUACAUUUGGUGAAAUUUUUGUGACGCAUUGCAAGGUGGUGUCUAGGAGACCUUGUGCUUAAUAUCUGCGCAGCCAAGAUGAGUAUUCUACUAACUGAGAAAAGUUACUUUCUAUGUAUUUUAUAGGAAUGCAAAUAAUGUGUUUUUCAUAUCGAACCG